This 2660-nucleotide long non-coding RNA is filed under the name Nicotiana benthamiana. RNAcentral describes it as "long non-coding RNA (NBEN_LNC017874)". The record is from RNAcentral. Lineage: Eukaryota; Viridiplantae; Streptophyta; Magnoliopsida; Solanales; Solanaceae.
GCCUAUUGGACUCUCAGGAGAAAAGUGAAGAGUAUUAAAACAGUGCCUGCAGGGGGUGACAAAUUAGCAGAAUCAAAUACUGUAAAUUGUUUAAAAGACCCUGUGGCAGAGUCACUUAAUAAAAGGGCAAAGAAUGAUUGUACAGCACCUCAUCAUUUGCAAGAGGGAGAUUUUUUUGACAUAGUUUCCUUCAAGAAAGGAGAUUUUAUUCAGAAUUGGCAUCCAAGAGACAAUACAUCUUAUGAUACAAUUAUUUGGUAAGUUUUCUUUUUCUUUAACGUCAUCUUCCCCGUAUGGUUCAAGUGGUGUGAAAUCUUUUAGUCAAUUGCAAUCCUUCUGCGAAAAGGUACCCAAGAUGUUAUAUUGUUAGAACUUGUGUUUCCUUUUCAAAAUCACCCAAAAUUUUAUUCUAAAGGUGCACUUCUUUUGGCGGCAGAGGCAAAUUGUGUAAGCAGAACGAGAUGAUAAAAGAACAGUGCAAAAGCUUAAAGAGUUUAUUAGCCAGAGAACAUUUUUUGUUUCGUUUCCUUGACAUCCAACUUUGACCAGUCCUAAGUGAGUAUGAUUUGGGUGGAUUCUGUCUUCCUUGUUUUCGUUUAGCUCCACUCCUAUCUGUGACACCACAAAGACAUGGUUAAAAGAGGGGGGAACAAAGAAACUUUUAUGGACUCUCAUGCUUAUGAAUAUCAUUUUUAUUUUGAGAAAGGUAAUAUUUGUAUUCAUCAGCAUUCAAAAUAGGGCUGCUCUAUAAUAUUUACUAGUACAGAACCUCUGUGAGAUUCACAGCGAGUCAAAAAAGCCUAGUACUGAUUCUGCAUCACCUACCAAUUCUUCUUUAAACUAAAAAUGAAAAAGAGGAAUGCAUGAAUCUUGAUUUUCUCUGUUGAAGUACUCUUGCCUUCAAAACAUUUUGCAUUCAUCUCUUUCCAAACUGCCCACCAUAUGCAAACUGGAGCAAUCCUUAUGACAGGUUCUUCCCCUAAUACUGUUCCAACUGCAUAUCAAGCCAACAGCCUCCUUGGGCAUCAUCCAAACAAUACUAGCUAGUGUUAUAAAGAGCUGACAAAGUUGUCUAGUAAUAACACUAUUCAUGAAUAGAUUGUCAUUGGUAUCAGUUUCCUGGUGACUUAGAAAGCAUGUAAAGCUGGUCUGAAUACCUCCCAAAGUUGACUAGUAAUAACACAAUUCAAGAAUAGAUGGUCAUUGACAUCAGUUUCCUGGUGACUUAGAAAGCAUGUAAAACUGGUCUGAAUACCUUGGAGAAUCCAAAGUGAGGCAGGCUCCUUUAUCAGUACAAGUGUCGUGUAGAUACAAGUGUGGGGGCUAAAAUGAAGAGUCUGCUCAACAUAAGUAAUAAGUGAUUCUAACUGAGUUAUCUGCCAUUAUGUUCCAGUAGUGUUUAGUGUAUGACAAUUUUGAGAUCAACUGCAAUAGUCUUCUAAAUUUUAUUGUGGGAUCUUUCUUUUUCUCUUUUCUUUCUUGGGGAAUGGGAAACUUGGCCAGAGUGUUGGGGCUGGGUGCAGGCCUCUCAAUCUUUGGCUUUUCUAAAGAUUGAUCACACCACUUGAAUCGCUCUCUGAGGGUUUCUUACAGAGAAGAUUAGACCCAGCUUUCUGCUUUUCAGUAUAGCAUAUGAUUAUAUCAUAUGAUCUAAAGCAAGAGAAUGUAUAGUAUGUUUUUUGGUAUUGGGUGCUGAAAUUUUAUUCUAUUUCCAUGUAUGUGAGCUUGAAGAGCUGAUUUCAUUGGAUGCAGCUUAAGCGUGUCAAAGUGGGUGCAUUUAAACUGGGGAGAUGAGGGAGUAAUAACUUUGUUUUCCAAAGUCUGGAGGCUCCUUUCACCGGUAAUGUUCACGUGUAAUAGGAAGCAGUUCCUUGGAAAUAGAAAGAAACUCAUGUUUUAACUGUGUACUUUUUUGAUAGCAGGGUGGUGUCUUUAUUUUGGAGCCUCAGCCUUGGAAAUCAUACUACGAUAAUCGUCUUGUAUCUGAGGUAUAUCCUUUCAUAUAUUACUAGCUUCACAUGCGUGCUUUCUAUACGGAGAAGACAUUAUAUUGGGAUUUCUUUUUUACUUUGCGUACCAAAAUUGAAAAUGUUAAUAAUGACUUAUAUUGGGUUUUCUUUUUUACUUUGCGUACCAAAAUUGAAAAUGUUAAUAAUGAUCUUGCUAUGCAGACAACAAGAAUUAAUUAUCAAAAUAUUAAGAUCCGUCCAGAAGAUUUUCAAAGAGUAUUAAAACAGUGCCUGCAGGGGGUGACAAAUUAGCAGAAUCAAAUACUGUAAAUUGUUUAAAAGACCCUGUGGCAGAGUCACUUAAUAAAAGGGCAAAGAAUGAUUGUACAGCACCUCAUCAUUUGCAAGAGGGAGAUUUUUUUGACAUAGUUUCCUUCAAGAAAGGAGAUUUUAUUCAGAAUUGGCAUCCAAGAGACAAUACAUCUUAUGAUACAAUUAUUUGGUAAGUUUUCUUUUUCUUUAACGUCAUCUUCCCCGUAUGAUUGGACAAGGUAUGUUUCAGAGAAUUCUAUAAUCCCCUCCCUCCCUUUCCUCCAUUUUCUUUUAAAAAAAAAACUUGAAAGUUAAAUAUUUCAUGACUCUGGGUAGGUUUCACUGACACAUCCCUUUAAUCUGAAUGCAGAUUGGAUUUAGAAUGGUAGAGGACAUAAC